This 478-nucleotide ribosomal RNA is filed under the name uncultured bacterium. RNAcentral describes it as "partial 16S ribosomal RNA". It matches the Rfam family "Bacterial small subunit ribosomal RNA", at positions 28 to 523 of the family's 1533-position model. The record is from RNAcentral.
GACGAACGCUGGCGGCGUGCUUAACACAUGCAAGUCGGACGGUAAGGCCCUUCGGGGUACACGAGUGGCGAACGGGUGAGUAACACGUGGGUGAUCUGCCCUGCACUUCGGGAUAAGCCUGGGAAACUGGGUCUAAUACCGGAUAGGACCACUGCCUGCAUGGGUGGUGGUGGAAAGCUUUUGCGGGUUGGGAUGGGCCCGCGGCCUAUCAGCUUGUUAGUGGGGUGAUGGCCUACCAAGGCGACGACGGGUAGCCGGCCUGAGAGGGUGACCGGCCACACUGGGCCUGAGAUACGGCCCAGACUCCUACGGGGGGCAGCAGUGGGGAAUAUUGCACAAUGGGCGCAAGCCUGAUGCAGCGACGCCGCGUGAGGGAUGACGGCCUUCGGGUUGUAAACCUCUUUCAGCACCGACGAAGCGCAAGUGACGGUAGGUGCAGAAGAAGGACCGGCCAACUACGUGCCAGCAGCCGCCGUAA